GCUUCAAGAUCACAUUUUAAUGCAAACAUUAAUAUCAAGCUGGACUUGUUUCACUGCAUGAGGCGGUUCCUCCGUGAGUGUGUGUCGGAGCAUCACGCCCUGUACAGUUCCUUUGCUCAGUUCCUCUGGACUGGGACAAGCACAACAGCAAGACAGAUCACACCCAGGCCCCGAAUCCACCUCCUCAAAGUGAUCCACUCGCUACCCAGUCGGAGGUUCCUCUGUCAUCCUCACUGGCACCAUCAAGAAACUCCACGUCCGCCGUCGCUGGCAGUUAUCGACCAGCUGCUCAACAAACCCCGUGAGCAGAAAGACAUGCUGAAGCUUGUGGACCAGGACUACGCUGCUCUAGUUCACAACUCCUGUACAGACCCCAACAGCAUGCUCCACCCAACAACAAAACUAUAUAUUCUACAAUAUGUAAAGCACCUCAGCAAAUUGUUGAACACCAGUUCCUCUUUAAACGUCAGUCCAGAAAAACUGCAAGAGAGGCAGAAACUCUGUCACUCU
Gasterosteus aculeatus aculeatus (three-spined stickleback) is the source of this 510-nucleotide long non-coding RNA. Lineage: Eukaryota; Metazoa; Chordata; Actinopteri; Perciformes; Gasterosteidae. The record is from Ensembl.